RNAcentral lists this ribosomal RNA (518 nucleotides) under uncultured Acaulospora. Its description in RNAcentral is "SSU rRNA". It matches the Rfam family "Eukaryotic small subunit ribosomal RNA", at positions 569 to 1088 of the family's 1831-position model. The record is from RNAcentral. Lineage: Eukaryota; Fungi; Glomeromycota; Glomeromycetes; Diversisporales; Acaulosporaceae.
AGCAGCCGCGGUAAUUCCAGCUCCAAUAGCGUAUAUUAAAGUUGUUGCAGUUAAAAAGCUCGUAGUUGAAUUUCGGAAUUUGUCGGUCGGUCGGGCUUUAUUGUCCGCACUGACCUGAUAGAUUCCUACCUUCUGAAUAACCAGCAUGCUAUUAAUUUAGUGCGUUGGGGAAGCAGAGCUAUUACCUUGAAAAAUUAGAGUGCUUAAAGCAGGCUUAUGCUUGAAUAGAUUAGCAUGGAAUAAUAAAAUGGGACGGCUUGGUUCUAUUUUGUUGGUUUCUAGGAUCACCGUAAUGAUUAAUAGGGAUAGUUGGGGGCAUUAGUAUUCAAUUGUCAGAGGUGAAAUUCUUGGAUUUAUUGAAGACUAACUUCUGCGAAAGCAUUUGCCAAGGAUGUUUUCAUUAAUCAAGAACGAAAGUUAGGGGAUCGAAGACGAUCAGAUACCGUCGUAGUCUUAACCAUAAACUAUGCCGACUAGGGAUCGGACGAUGUUAAUUUUUAAUGACUCGUUCGGCGCCG